GGUGGCUCAGUUGGUAGAGUGCUUGCCUUGCAUGCAUGAGACCCUGGGUUCAAUUCCUCAGUACCA
This 66-nucleotide transfer RNA is filed under the name Dipodomys ordii (Ord's kangaroo rat). It matches the Rfam family "tRNA". From Rfam's summary of the family: Transfer RNA (tRNA) molecules are approximately 80 nucleotides in length. Their secondary structure includes four short double-helical elements and three loops (D, anti-codon, and T loops). Lineage: Eukaryota; Metazoa; Chordata; Mammalia; Rodentia; Heteromyidae. The record is from Rfam by way of RNAcentral.